CCUACGGGUGGCAGCAGUGGGGAAUAUUGCGCAAUGGGCGAAAGCCUGACGCAGCGACGCCGCGUGAGGGAUGAAGGUCUUCGGAUCGUAAACCUCUGUCAGCAGGGAAGAACGGUCACUGUGCUAAUCAGCAGUGCAUUGACGGUACCUGCAAAGGAAGCACCGUCUAACUCCGUGCCAGCAGCCGCGGUAAUCCGGAGGGUGCGAGCGUUAAUCGGAAGUACUGGGCGUAAGGCGCUCGUAGGCGGUAUGUCAAGUCAAGGGGGAAAUCCCCGCGCUCAACGUGGGAACUGCCUUUGAAGCGGGCAAACUGGCGGGUGUGAGAGGAUAGUGGAAGUCCAGGGGUAGGAGUGAAAUCCGUAGAUA
This 366-nucleotide ribosomal RNA is filed under the name uncultured bacterium. Its description in RNAcentral is "partial 16S ribosomal RNA". It matches the Rfam family "Bacterial small subunit ribosomal RNA", at positions 338 to 696 of the family's 1533-position model. The record is from RNAcentral.